Molecule: non-coding RNA, 72 nt
Organism: Podarcis lilfordi (Lilford's wall lizard)
Lineage: Eukaryota; Metazoa; Chordata; Lepidosauria; Squamata; Lacertidae
Source: the annotation of a GenBank genome assembly
GGAUAGCUCACAAGUUGGUAGAGCGUGAGCCUCUUGAUCACAGGGUCGUGGGUUCGAGACCCACGUUGAGCA